RNAcentral lists this ribosomal RNA (484 nucleotides) under uncultured bacterium. RNAcentral's name for it is "partial 16S ribosomal RNA". It matches the Rfam family "Bacterial small subunit ribosomal RNA", at positions 30 to 507 of the family's 1533-position model. The record is from RNAcentral.
AUUGAACGCUGGCGGCAGGCCUAACACAUGCAAGUCGAGCGGAUGAAGGGAGCUUGCUCCUGGAUUCAGCGGCGGACGGGUGAGUAAUGCCUAGGAAUCUGCCUGGUAGUGGGUGAUAACGUCCGGAAACGGGCGCUAAUACCGCAUACGUCCUGAGGGCGAAAGUGGGGGAGCUUCGGACCUCACGCCAUCAGAUGAGCCUAGGUCGGAUUAGCUAGUUGGUGGGGUAAAGGCCUACCAAGGCGACGAUCCGUAACUGGUCUGAGAGGAUGAUCAGUCACACUGGAACUGAGACACGGUCCAGACUCCUACGGGAGGCAGCAGUGGGGAAUAUUGGACAAUGGGCGAAAGCCUGAUCCAGCCAUGCCGCGUGUGUGAAGAAGGUCUUCGGAUUGUAAAGCACUUUAAGUUGGGAAGAAGAGCAGUAAGUUAAUACCUUGCUGUUUUGACGUUACCAACAGAAUAAGCACCGGCUAACUUCGUG